Molecule: long non-coding RNA, 863 nt
Filed under: Olea europaea subsp. europaea
Lineage: Eukaryota; Viridiplantae; Streptophyta; Magnoliopsida; Lamiales; Oleaceae
Source: RNAcentral
UAUUGAUAUAAGAUCAUGUACCAAAUUACAUAAGAUAGAAAUAGUAUACAAUAAAAUAUUAUAAAAGAAAUCGAAAUUCGCAAAAUGCAUCUACAAUAUCACUUAAAAAUAUCCACAUAGAACUUCCUACUUUGUUCAUCGUAUUCACCAACCCAACAUGGCACAAAACUUUGCUAGCAUAUGUAAAAGAUAUGACUAUAAAUUGCACAAAAUAACAAAAAAUAACCUAAAAAGAAUAAAAUUUUGAUUUCUCCUUGUCCGUCAUCUAUGAAAUUUUUACGAUCUUUUCCUUCUUAGCUUUCUGACGAUCUCAAUAAGGAAUUUGAAUCAAUUUCAUUGCCUCCAUUUAGUUUUGAUUUCCAUACUUAUACAGUAGACACGCUAGGCUUGUUAUAGUGCUUGCGGGAACAAAAACAUUCGCUAUUUGCUGAAUCUUCCAGUUGAAUAUUGAUGCUACCAAAAAAUAUCACCUGAAAGUCUCGAGCUUGAUGACUGGGAUGGAACACGAACUGCGCCUUCCAAUACCUGAAACAAAGGUAACGAUGUGUGUGCUCGUCGCCCCUCCGAUGCUUAAGUCAGACAAGGAAUUUUAUGCGUGAGGCUAUAAACUGAGAAUAAUAAUGAAGAACGUACCUUUGGAAUGAGCACAGGUUGUGUAUUUAUAGGUGUUAGUGGUUGAGUCCUAGGAGGACUGAUUCUGCCACAAUCCUUCUCCUCGUAGGAAAAGGAGUUGGUGUUUCACCUCGUGUAUUCAAAUCACUGUUUGAGUCAAAGAAGGAGUCUAAGAAGGUAGGGAUUGUGUUCAAGGUAGGAUUAGUGCUUCCAUAGGUCACAUAUGGAAGUUGACGAGUCAACACAUCUAC